AGAGUUUGAUCCUGGCUCAGAUUGAACGCUGGCGGCAGGCCUAACACAUGCAAGUCGAACGGCAGCACAGAGGAGCUUGCUCCUUGGGUGACGAGUGGCGGACGGGUGAGUAAUGUCUGGGAAACUGCCCGAUGGAGGGGGAUAACUACUGGAAACGGUAGCUAAUACCGCAUAACGUCGCAAGACCAAAGAGGGGGACCUUCGGGCCUCUUGCCAUCGGAUGUGCCCAGAUGGGAUUAGCUAGUUGGUGAGGUAACGGCUCACCAAGACCAUGAUGCAUAGCCGACCUGAGAGGGUGAUCGGCCACACUGGGACUGAGACACGGCCCAGACUCCUACGGGAGGCAGCAGUAGGGAAUCUUCGGCAAUGGACGAAAGUCUGACCGAGCAACGCCGCGUGAGUGAAGAAGGCCUUCGGGUUGUAAAGUACUUUCAGCGAGGAGGAAGGCGUUGUGGUUAAUAACCGCAGCGAUUGACGUUACUCGCAGAAGAAGCACCGGCUAACUCCGUGCCAGCCGCCGCGGUAAUAC
This 529-nucleotide ribosomal RNA is filed under the name uncultured bacterium. Its description in RNAcentral is "bacterial SSU rRNA". It matches the Rfam family "Bacterial small subunit ribosomal RNA", at positions 8 to 526 of the family's 1533-position model. The record is from RNAcentral.